GCGGCGGCCGGAGCUGGAGGGGGAGGAGGGGAGGAACCUGAUCUCUCCGGUAGCGAAGGGCUGGAGGCAAACACCGAGCUCCCCCAGAGCCGCCCGGGAGCUGGGAGGGCUCCGCUACCCCGAGGGGCCCUCCCCGCGGGCAGAUGAGUUCAAUAUCCAGACUCUCUGAGCUGUGUUUUGGGGUCACACAAGUAUCCCACUUUUCAUGAACUACUGGAUUCAUAACCCAUUCCACACUUGAGAACAUGGGCAUUGAAAUAAGGUUUGCUCAACCUGCUGAGGGUGCAGAGGUGAAUCAGAGGAUGCACUGGUAGAGGGGGAGAUGGACAGGGGUGAAACCGCAAACAGUUUCAGCUCCACAUGGAAUAGAGGACAUGCUAAAACUAGAUGUAAUUUUUUUUCCUGAGGAAUUGCUCCAGCAGGAAUGGGUGUUUCAGAUAUAUCAUUCUGUUACAGAUGGCUACUACACAUGGUUUCUUCUAUCUGAAGUAUAGAGCUGCUAUACCUGGAACUAUGGUGACACUGCAAGAAAAUGGCAAAGUCCUUUGCUCCGCUAGCCUCCAAGCCCCUUCAGGACAGCCCCUGGGGUGCUCACACUCCAGUCCCGGGUUCGGUGUCCUUAAGGAGCGUUCAGCGUCGAGAACUUAGGCGAGAAACGCCGCCGCGCGCGCGCGCCUCAGCUCUCCGCACGGCGUCCGCGAUGCGAGCCCGGGAAAACUGGCCGCCUGGGCCGGCCGCGGCCCCUUUAAGAGCAGACCACGCCCCUCCCCUCCUCUCGGCGCGGCCGGCGGUCGGUGGCGGCAGCUACGGUGCUGACAAGAUGGCGGCUGGCGGGGCUCUCGCUGCAGUCGCUGCAGCGCCUGAGUGCCGGCUUCUGUCCUACGCGCUACACAAGUGGAGCUCCUUCUCCUCCACCUAUCUUCCCGAGAACAUUUUAGUGGAUAAACCAAAUGACCAAUCAUCAAGGUGGUCUUCAGAGAGCAACUAUCCUCCCCAGUACUUGAUUCUGAAGCUUGAAAGACCAGCCAUAGUCCAGAAUAUUACAUUUGGAAAAUAUGAGAAAACUCAUGUCUGCAAUUUGAAGAAAUUUAAAGUGUUUGGUGGAAUGAAUGAAGAGAAUAUGACAGAGCUGUUGUCCAGUGGCUUAAAGAAUGAUUAUAACAAAGAAACAUUUACCUUGAAGCAUAAAAUUGAUGAACAGAUGUUCCCUUGUCGAUUCAUUAAAAUAGUUCCACUCUUAUCCUGGGGACCCAGCUUUAAUUUUAGCAUCUGGUAUGUUGAACUUAGUGGCAUUGAUGAUCCUGAUGUAGUACAGCCCUGUCUCAACUGGUAUAGCAAGUACCGUGAACAGGAAGCCAUUCGCCUUUGCCUAAAACACUUCAGGCAGCACAACUAUACAGAGGCCUUUGAAUCACUGCAAAAGAAAACUAAGAUUGCCCUGGAACAUCCCAUGUUAACAGAUCUGCAUGAUAAACUGGUGUUAAAGGGUGAUUUUGAUGCUUGUGAAGAAUUGAUUGAAAAAGCUGUAAAUGAUGGCUUGUUCAAUCAGUAUAUCAGUCAACAGGAAUAUAAGCCUCGAUGGAGCCAGAUCAUUCCCAAAAGUACCAAAGGUGAUGGAGAAGAUAACCGACCAGGAAUGAGAGGGGGCCAUCAAAUGGUUAUUGAUGUUCAAACAGAGACCGUUUAUUUGUUUGGUGGCUGGGAUGGAACACAGGAUCUUGCUGACUUCUGGGCAUACAGUGUGAAGGAGAACCAGUGGACAUGUAUCUCUAGAGAUACUGAGAAAGAGAAUGGUCCUAGUGCCAGAUCAUGUCAUAAAAUGUGCAUUGACAUUCAGCGAAGGCAAAUCUACACAUUGGGCCGUUAUUUGGAUUCCUCUGUAAGGAACAGCAAAUCUCUGAAAAGUGACUUCUAUCGUUAUGACAUUGACACAAACACAUGGAUGUUACUCAGUGAAGAUACUGCUGCUGAUGGAGGGCCCAAAUUGGUGUUUGAUCAUCAGGUUUGGUGCACAGAUAAAUAUAUGAUGUGUAUGGACUCAGAAAAACAUAUGAUCUACACCUUUGGUGGUAGAAUUUUGACAUGUAAUGGCAGCGUAGAUGACAGCAGAGCCAGUGAACCACAAUUCAGUGGGUUGUUUGCUUUCAACUGUCAGUGUCAAACCUGGAAACUUCUUCGCGAGGACUCCUGUAAUGCUGGGCCUGAGGACAUCCAGUCUCGGAUAGGACACUGCAUGCUAUUCCACUCAAAAAAUCGUUGCUUAUAUGUAUUUGGUGGCCAACGAUCGAAGACCUAUUUGAAUGAUUUCUUUAGUUAUGAUGUGGACUCUGAUCAUGUAGACAUAAUAUCAGAUGGCACCAAGAAAGACUCUGGAAUGGUUCCAAUGACAGGAUUCACACAGAGAGCAACCAUUGAUCCAGAACUGAAUGAAAUACAUGUCUUAUCUGGACUCAGCAAAGACAAAGAAAAGAGGGAAGAAAAUGUCAGAAAUUCAUUCUGGAUUUAUGAUAUCGUGAGGAAUAGUUGGUCUUGUGUCUAUAAGAAUGAUCAAGCUGCAAAGGAUAAUCCAAGUAAAAGUCUUCAGGAGGAAGAACCAUGUCCAAGAUUUGCUCAUCAGCUUGUAUAUGAUGAGUUACACAAGGUUCAUUAUCUUUUUGGUGGGAAUCCAGGAAAAUCUUGCUCUCCAAAGAUGAGAUUAGAUGACUUCUGGUCACUGAAGUUGUGUAGGCCUUCAAAAGAUUACUUACUGAGGCAUUGCAAGUACCUCAUAAGAAAACACAGGUUUGAAGAAAAGGCCCAAAUGGAUCCCCUCAGUGCUCUGAAAUAUUUACAAAAUGAUCUUUAUAUAACUGUGGAUCACUCAGACCCAGAAGAGACAAAAGAGUUUCAGCUCCUAGCUUCAGCUCUAUUCAAAUCUGGUUCAGAUUUUACAACUCUAGGCUUUUCAGAUGUGGAUCACACCUAUGCUCAAAGAACUCAGCUCUUUGACACCUUAGUAAAUUUCUUUCCUGACAGCAUGACUCCUCCUAAAGGCAACCUGGUAGACCUCAUCACACUGUAACUGAAGAGUCACUGGACAAAAAUGGAUAACAGGAGUCUGCUUUCAGUAUUCUGGAUUUCAACUCUAUUGACCGACAAUUAGGCUGCGGCGAUUGAGGACUGCACCAGAAUAUUAAAGGGAUCUUUACUGUCACAAAUUUUAACCCUUUCCUUCAUAACUGACCUUAACCCCCUUUUCUGCAUCCUAUUCUUAAAUUAGGCUAAUAAAGUGAAGUUGAUAUACUUUCCACUUAAAUAUAUAUAUAUUUUUUUCUUUAACUUUUAAGAAUUAAUGAGUGUAAAAGAAAAUAAUCAGGCAGUUUACUCUUUUCUGAUUUUUAUUUCAUUUUUAUAAAAUUGGGGCAAGUAAGCACUAUUAACAGACUCAAUACUAUAAGAAUUGGGAUCUUUUUGGGUUGUUGGUCUGUCUGCUUUCUUCUCCCUUCCCAUUUCACUUGACCUCACACCACACAAGUGCUUAAGUGGUGUCAUUUGUUUACCUCUUCAUUCUUAACAGUAUGUAGUUCUAUAGGGCAAUUGAUGUAUGUUAAGGUGAUACAUGUGUCUGUUGAGUCUUGUAUUACGUUAAACAAUAGGAAGAACAGAGGGCUCAAAUUUGUGCUCCUUGUCAUAGAACUAAAAAAUGAAACCCAAGAUUGAUCCAGGUACUUACCUGAGAUUGGUAUUUAGUAUUUCUAUAGUGGUAUAUUUUAUAAUGGAUAUUACAAUAGCUUUGAGUCUCAGAAACCUUAAACUGAGGAGAAUGUAGUUCAGAACCUUUAAGAGCCAUUAUAAAAAUUACCAGAAGAAGAUUCUAGUAGUGAUUAAUAUGUUCAUUGAUGUCUUUGUAGCAAGUUUGGAAGCAGACCACUUUUUCCUCUGGUAGAGCAGUGCAGAACCCCAGCUUCCAGUUCUUCCUUGUACUCUUUCUGUGGUGUUUUUUCAAUUUGACGGGUGGGUUUCCAGACCUAUGCUUUUGUUUAUUUCCGUACACAUUAGCUCCCUUCAUGUGCUUCUGUAUACAGUUGCUUCAAAGAAUAAUGAUUGGUAGUUGGCAUUUCUUUAAGCACACAGACCAGGCAUCUUUAAAUGAAGGAAAAGAAAAAUAAUGAUGGUGCAAAUAUAUUUUCAUUAUAAAGUAAACAAAGGUAGAUGGGCUUUUACACUGUUCCUUUUUUUUUUUUUUUGUAGGGGUGGAGAUACGUAUCAUUCCAUGAGGUGCUGUGAAAUGCAGUAUAGGAAACCUGUACCUGGCCAGUACUUACAUUUGCUCAAAAAAUGUGCUGUGUGCAGCUGAUACCCACCAUACCUAAAGCAGACUAAGUAUAUAAUAAGUAUCCAUCAAUUCAGUGGUUCUCAUAAGUGAGUGACAUGAUGGAAUUGAGUAUGUUGUCCCUGAGUAGCAAGAUUAGGCCUCACCAAAGAGAAGAAAAAGGCUUGCACUUUCAAAAAGCCUCAUGUAUAGGAAUGGGACUUUGAGGUCCUCUUCAUUCUGUUUAUUGCAUGGUUUCACUUCUGGGGAUGGACAGAAAUAUGUUUUUCCUAACUCUAUAUUUAAAUCUUGGGCUCCUUAGACCUCCAAACAUCCAAAACAGUCAGUAGUGAUUUAUUAAACAAUUAGAUCUGAACCAUAACCUUGUAAAAGAUACUAUGUAGUUCUAUAAGUACCAAAUUAUGUAGCUGUAGAAUAACCAAUUGGUUUUACAGGUGAGCAGAUAGCAUCUAUUAAAAUAUUUACACAGUUUCAUAAAAUGAUUCCCCUGAGUGACAGUCAAGUACAUAAAAUAUUAAUAUCACUAAUAUUGUAGCCUAUUGAAUUUAAUUUUGUGGAAACAGGUCCAAAUCAGAAAGUUGAUAGGGAAGAACUUGAACUUGAUUAGAGUUUUGAAAUUUAAAAGCUCUAGUUUUGCUUAGUGUGAAUUUUGGCACUUUAAAAAUAUUAACCAAAGGACAUUCUGCCUUCCACCGUUUAUUUUUAUAAAAAUUUUGUUCGUCAUUUUUUUCAUUAGCUCCUCAGACCGUAUUUGGAAAAAACUCAUUUCCGAACUAAAAUGAUAUUGUUUGCUUUUGUUUUUCCCUGACUCUGCUAGUUGUUUUUAACAUAUGCUUGUUUUAAUUUCAUUUUUCUUCACUUUAUUAAGUGUAAUUUUUCUCCUUCAUUUCUGGAUUUUUAUUUUCACUAACAUAUUUAAAUGGAGUUGAAUCAUAGUGAACCAUUUAGUGUUGCUUAAGUGAAAUAGACAAUAUUGACAAGGUAUUGGCUAUGUAAGUCAGAAUUUGUACUGUGGACUUUAAUGGGACACUGCUGGUAAUGAUUACAGGAGAAUAUAGGGGUUCAUUAUAUCCAUGACCAAGAUUUACACAUUGUUCAAUCUUUCAUCAGAACCAUGAUUUAAAACUUGUUUAGAUACUUAAUGAGGAGCUACAUAUAUUUCCAAAAAUUCUAGCCAUUCAGUUUAAGUAAACUAAUUUGGUAUUUAGAUGCAUUGUUUAGGUAGCCAAGCUUCUAUGUUUUACUACUUAAAAAUUCUUUCAUUCUAGCUUACUAAGUCCCAGACUGGAAAACAUGGCUGACUCUUUUAGAGGCAUUAAUCCAUGGAGUACAAUGUUCUUAAUUUCAUUAUCCGUGGUUUUAAGUUCAUUCCUAUUUCUCCUUUUCCCAGUGAAAUAUAUUAUUUCAGAAUAAUAAACUAGAUUUCUAACAUUAUUUUCCGUGCUUGUACACAUUAGCUCCCUUCAUGUGCUUCUGUAUACUGUGUGAUACACUGAACAGUCCUCUCUGCAAGAUACUUUUAAAAUACAUUAGCAUUUUAGGGAAAGACAGAGACCUCAUGUGGCCAGCUUGAUUAAUUCAAAUACAUAAAAUCUCUUAUGUAAGAAAGAAAUUCAGACUGGGUGCCUAACUCUUGUGCUAAAGCUGAUAGACAGUAUUAUCCUGUAGCAAGAUCAUCUUUUUAAACCUGGUUUUCAUUUAUACUGAAUCUGACCUGUCCAUGUCUAAUAAGUAAAAAUAGACAGUACUAGAAAGUUAACACUGGUUUAUCAUGGGAAGGCUUGUUGGGUUUAGGCUCAGUGAUUAGUUUAAGAUUAUAAAACUGCAUUCUUUAUUGGAAUACAGAUACUGAAUAUAAAUGGUUGCCAGCUUAUCCUUCCAGUGGAUCUCUUCACAUCUGCCUUAAAAGUGCUUUUUUGAGGUACAUUAACAGAUUUUCAUGUAAUAAAGGAAAAUUUAAAGUCUAACCUACAAACAAAAACUAGUUUGAGGCACUUAAUCAUUUAGUGAAAGAUUGAGAAUGAUGUUUAGUUGGUCAAAAAGUAUUUAGGAGUAUGUUCCUGACUUUAGUCUCUGAAUUAUACUGUUUCCUGGUAAUUACAUUAAGAAGUCACUUAUAAUUACUCUUAAUACCAUAUGAAAUACAUUGGGUAAUUGUGGGUUAUUCUGUUAUUUCCUGAGUGAAUGUUGUGUUAACUCUUUAGCUAGUUGAAUGUUGCAAAGCAGUUGAGAAUUAGGGUUUGAAGUGAUUUGUAUGGGAGGGGAUUAUUACAAUGUGUACUCUGAGGAUUUACCUUCCUUUUUAUAGCUCUUUUAGCUAUAAAAAAACAUACCCUUCCUAACCCUUCUUUUCUUAAAAAAUCCAUGUUCAUCUGCAAUUUCAUCCUUUUGUAAAAAUUCUGGCCUGAAUUUUCAGUUUUAAAUUACAGGAGUCCUUGAUCUGGGAUAUGAAGGUUACCUAAGAAAAAGUUUGUAGUUACUGGAGGAGCAUCAGAGAAUCUGCACAUGACAGUGCUUGUAAAUUAGAUCUUUGGGCCCUUUCACUCAAAGAUUGCUAUGUUCUUUAAUAGAUAACAUUAUUCUUUUGUGGUUUUUGACUGUGGCCUGUUACCUUCCUGCAAUUUGUAAUAAUGCUUGCUAAAAUGCCUUGGCUAUCCAAAUUCUAGUCUAGAGGUAUUUUAGUUGAAGGUGGAAGUUUCCGAGUUGUUUGUUGAAACAAUUAAUUAGGAACCUGCUAGAUCAGCUGAAUGACGACGUUGCCAUCAUUUGUUUUGGCAGGGAAAACUAAUUAUUUCAGUUUAUUGAUUUAACUAAAUGUUCUUUUUAUUUUUCUCAAAAAAUACGAUUUUAAAGAUUUUAUUUAGAUGUGAUCUUUUAACUUUAACUUCCUCCUACUCACCAAAUACUGUGAAUUGUGUCUCCGGCAUUUUUCUUAGCUAGCCUGACUUGAUUCUUGGCUUUUUAAGCCCUAUACUUCAUAGGUUUUCUGUGGCAUUGCAUAUGAGUGUCAUACUGCCUGAGGAAAAAAAAGCCAAAAUCAUUCUGAGACAGACGUGCUCUUUUAUCUUUGUUUAUGACAACAGAGUAGUGAAAUAUAAAAUUUUACUUCAUUAAAGAAUAACUUCAGAUAUUGCUAUAAAAAUACUUGAAUCAUUUCAUUUGGGGGAUAGUAAUAUGGCUACGGCAGCUCAGUCAUUUUUGGCUUCUUUUCCUGGCACUAGGAAGUACCAUCAUAGAACUGUUGAUAAGAUACAAGUUUCAUAGGAGAGCUCAUGGAAUUCAGCACAUCUCCAGAUUUCCAUGCCUACUGCCUUGUCUUGUCUUUGUAUUUUGUAGCUUUUCUCCACCCCACCCCUCCCCAACCUCUGUAGUACUGAUUUUUCUGCUUAAGUUGGAAUUUGUGUUAAGAAUUGAUGAAGUAUUAGGAAUACCUUAGAGUGCUAUGAAAUAACUGUUACUUGUCUAUUUUUUUCUUAGAUAAGGUAGCACAUAAUGAUGAAAUGAUUUACCUUCCUUUUUAUCUGCUUUUCAAACAGUCCCAAUGAACUGUUAAAUAUUUGUGAGCAAUAUCCUGUUUUGCCUGUCUGUGGCAUUUUCACUUGGAGGUAUUAAGCCUCAGGAAGAGAGUAGAAAGGAAAAUGGAGAUAUGUUAGAGAAGGAAAAAUAGGGCCUUCUGCUCAUGGAUAUGAAGGGCCGCAAGUCUAAAUGAAAAAGAAGCUCUUCAUUCGUAACCUUAUGUUAAAUUUAUUAAUGCACUGCUGGGAAGAAGGCUGUCUAAAGGGAUCAAAGCUGAGGUAAUCUGAAGUCUUUGGAAAGCAGCAUUUCUUAGUUAGUUGCUUUUCUCACCUUCUCUCUAAAUAGGUGUUAAGAGAUCUUGAAACAGAAAACCCAGUAUAAUCGGCUCUAGAUCUUAAACGAGGUGAGCAGUUUCUUAUGUGCAGCCAGUUCCUUGAUAAGGUUCCAGAGGGAAAAGUGACAAACAUUGUAACAUGCAGUUUGGGGGCUCCCACGGAACUUGCUUUCUCAUGGCUUUUGAGCUCUUGCUGUAACACAGCUCUAUACCAUCUGGGUUGCUAGCAUUCACAGCAACUAGUUUGGAUAUCUGAGCUGUCUGCCACAUGAAUACCAGCCUGAGAUGAUCAUUCUUCAGUUUUGUUCAGUGCUUAAUUAAUGCCAGAUUAAUUGGCAGGAAGAGAAAACACUGUGUGAUACACUGAACAGUCCUCUCUGCAUGAUUAAGGAGUUGCUCAAGAGGCCAAUUUUGAGGUGUAUUUUUCUCCUUUUUUAACGAAUGUCAAGAAAGCCUUUAUUACAGUUUAGCUAGUGUCAUUUGGCUGGUGUUCAUUUCCCAGUCUUUUACAAUAGGAAGACAAUUGUCAUUUCAUGUUAAUUUAUAACCUGUACACAAUUGAACUGACAUCAGUUUAGUGUACAUGUUUUAAAAUUAAUUAAUUAUGCAUAAUCCCAAGGGUCUCUGCUUAUUUUGCUUUGCUAAGAAAUACAUAAGUUCUGUACUUGGCAUUGAAAGUACUUAGUAAUUUUGGUUUAUUCUUUAGGUUUUCUCCACAUCUGUAAAUUGAUUAAUUAUAUUAGAGAAGGUAUCUAGAAUAAGUCCAGUUCCAUUGCAGCAGGCAGAUCUUUAUAAAUUCCUUUUGCAACAAAGGAGGGGAUUUUAUACCAUCAACGCUAUGCCAUCAGAUGUUUACAAGUGACUCUUUUAGCAUGUUGCCUUGUAGUUGCUGUAUUUACCGUCUUAAGAUGAAGGGGGGAAAGCACAAGAACAGAAAUGCAUGGCUUUUUUUAAUUGCUGUGGCUUUUUUUAAUUGCUGACUUUAGAAGUCCUAGGGUACUUCCGUCUUUGUAAAGGCUUAGCUUAAUUUUACAUACACACAUUAGUUAUAUUUGUAAGAGCACUGAGUACAAAGGUAUAAGGUGUACUAAAGUAAUUGUCUAACCAACCUCAAAUUUGAUAGUAGGUUAUCAAAGUCCAAAAGUUUAAAUAUGUAGUCUUCAGUAGGGAAGAUAAAUGUUUUAAAAAGUCAUGCACUUGGUCUCCUUUUUGAGAUUUUUUUUCCUUUCCCAGAAAAAUGAUUUUGAUGCCUGACCAGUUGUAAACUAUUUUCUCCCUCAGUUAUAAACCACUCAUUUAGGGAAAUAAAAGUGGACUUCCUUUCUUAAGCAUUACAUUUAGCUGUGCCAAGAAAUGCUAUGAUUGUGUUGUUCUUUAAGCCAGCUUGCUUUUUUGACUUGUGCAAUGUGUCUUUUGAAAUAAAUAAAUUGCAUAGUAUUAGUUUUCCUUUAUGUAUAGUCUUCAACUCAAUUCAGAAAUUGCAAAAUAAUGUGAUUUUUCUAUGAGCAGAUAUAUAUACAUUUUAUUCUUUCUUUCCCUGUCACCACUUCAGAAAUACUUGUAGAGUUGAGACUGCAGCCUCGGAAGAGUAUGGGAAAGCUAAGGACUUCUUUUUCUUGUCUUGGCCUUGAUAACAUUCUGUCUUUCCAAAAUAGCAUAUUUAUAUACAAGAAACUUGCAAACGAUGUUAGAACUUUUUUUAAGUCUAGUGUUUUGUUUCUUUUUAUAAACUAGAAGUAUUCAGUGGCCAGAAAUUAAGGUCCCUUUAAUAUAGUUGGACUAGAAAUUAGAUUGAGAAGCCAAUAGAAUCUGUCUUCCCAGUCUGCUUAGUAAUGCUGUGGAUAGCUCCUUCUGUUUCUUAGAAUAUCUCCUGGACUGGAAAGAUAGGGACAGCAACCAGCUUAUCUGAAAGUUAGAGACCAUUAAAUAUCAUUUAUGGGACUUGUAAGUGAUAACAUUUAUUGAUUUUUGUGAUUAUAAAAGUAUGCUUAUCAUAGAAAUAGGUACUAAGUGUAAAGAAGGCAAACCACUAUUAAUCAAUUGAUGAGACUUACUCACUUAGUUUCUCCUGACUACCUUCUGUUACCCAAUGUGGUAAAGCCCAGAAAAUUAAGAGAAAAAAAACUGACACAGCCAUUCUCAUUGUCUUUUACCACUUGUGGAGGACCAGGGUACAAGCAUUGUCCCAACCCUUACUUACAUUCCUUUAAGCAUUGCUGUUAGUCUGAAAAUAAUUCUGUUGAUACGUAUGUUUUCAGCGUGAACUGUGAAUGUAAGAUAUUACCCAGAACCUAUAGGGAAUUGUCUUGUUUAGGUCUUUGGAAAUUUCAUCUCUGACUCACUUGAAUUUUCAAGCCCUUUAUGCACCAUUAUGGACAUUUGGAGCACAUUCAUACCCAGGAGGAGCUUUCUGUUUAGAUGGACUUUUAGUAUGAGUAAACCCAUACCCAAAAAAGAUGAGGUACUUUUCAAAGGCCAAAGGAAAAGCAGAGAAGAGCAAAGAAAGGGCAAAACAGAUUAAAGGAAUCCUUGAUAUAAGUUCCCUUACCAUGCUUAGCAAAUGUCUCUCCAAAGUAUGUAUUCUCUGCUUACCAGCUAAGAUUCAGAAGCUAUGUAUUUCAUAUGAGACUGCUCCUCCGUGGCAUCAUGGAAUUAGGGCUUGUAUGCUCAAGUACCUAAAUCAGAAGUGGGCAUGAGGGAACUCUGGAAUAGCUGGCAUGAGCUAGUUGGAGCUUGUUAGCAUAAGUGCUUUUUAGGCAUCAGAUCUCUUCCAGCGUAACUGUUCUAAGUGAUUGUUUGGCUAGACUGAGUGUUCUGUAGCCUUCCCCAGUUGCCUUGUGAUCCUCUCUGGUUUAUCUUACUUUUGUCCAAUCUUUUGGACUUUUAAAGGACUUUGUUUUAGUACAACUAAUUUCCUGAUCCCAGGUUUGGUUAAUGUGUUAACACUGCUUUGUGAAUAAAUAAGUAAAAGAGUGAUCUGAACAACUACAAUUGUAGAAUUAUGUUGUAUGUAAUGUACAUAUGAAGAAAGAAUGUAUUUUGUUCAUUUUCUUAAUAAAAAGUUAUAUAUGGACACGACACGAUGUCCCGUUUCCUAAAACUCUUUAGAAGUCAGCUUUUAAACUGUUUGUAUUUUAUUAUUACAUUUUUUUUUUCCUCAAAAAGGUAAGUUUUAUUCAGGCUUACAAAGGUGGACAAUAGUGACACACAAUAGAGGGGCCUUUGAGAAUGAUGAGAUAAAGUAGUUCUGGUGGAUCUCACAAAGUUUCCGGGGGAAGUUUUUAUUUUUAAAGAACACUGACAAAUUAUUUCAAACAAUGUUUAUUGUUAUUGACCAUCCUUACAUCUGUUGUGUAAAUUUUGACUUGUGUUUCCCAGGUUUUCUUUAAGGGGGACACAAUUGUCUUCUACUUAGGAACUAGUCGAGAAAAACUGAACUGAAAUAGAAAAUUAAUUGUAGAAAAAAUAAUAGAGAGAACCUGGAGAGGUUGCAGAGUUUAGAAAAAUUCUGGAUCCCUGUCUUCAGUAAGGGGGAUAGAAACCUUGAGGGCUGAACCUUGAAAAGAAUUAUCUCAGAAAUAUGCCAGAGAUAAUGGAUUGUUAGAGUUGUCUGAGCUCCGCACAUUGACUCAGUAAUGGUUACUGCCCCUUUCGUCUCCUGACCUGGUUUCCAUUUUCUUGGCUUUGUGAUCCCACACUCUACAGUAAGUUAAUGGUCAGCUGAUCCUAUUCAAAAUAGGGAUUAUGCUUUCUUAAUUUACCAAAAAAAAAAAAUACAUCAAAUAAUCCAUUUGACUGCAUAGCUUUUAUUUCUAGAGCACUUUUGAGUGUGGCUAAGUAACAUUUCUUUGUUUUCAAAACAGGAAAACAUGAUAUGCAGUGAUAAGGUAAGCAGUUGGCCUUUCCUUGGUUAAUCCUCCAGAGAAUUUAAAGGAUGGAAAUGAGACACUACCUCCUCUCCAUAGAUAUAUUUGUCUUCUAGUGUGAAAACAGCAACAAGCAGAGGUCUUUGCGUUCAACAGUUGAGAUGCCAGCUGCUCCCAUGUCAUGUUCAGUGAGUGUGGAGAUCUACUGGGAUUGGAAGUGCUACAUAAGAACUUCUCUUACCCAAGGACAUAAUUCAACCUCUAAUGGGGAAAUGGCCAUGUGCGCUCAUACUCACACACUUAGAAGACAGCCAAUCUACAGAGAUUGAAAAAAAUAUUUUCCCUGAAAAUGAGGGCAAUGUUUCUUAUCACUAAUCCUUCCAAUUCUGAAGGUAUUGAGGGGAAAGGCUAACUGAUGGCUCACCUGAAGCCUAUGCUAGCCCUGGCACAGGCUUAAAUACUAGUUGGUUGUUUCUUUGCUUUACUGCCCCAUAUUUUGCUAUGUCUUUUGCCUUUCACAUGUCCUGGAAGAAAAGGAAGAGCAGCGUAGAGACCUGGGGCUUUCUGUGGCAUAGGGAAGGUGAGACAGUAGAGAAUGGUGCUUGUAACUGUUCUGUCAUUUUAGUCUGAAGCUUCUCUAAUAUUCACAGGGGGGUGGUUAUGAACCCUGCUGCUGGGCUCUCACCUGGAAAGAGCAAAGGCAGUGUUAGAUCCUUUCCAGAAACAUUAUUACAGGGAAGAAAGGAAAGUAUAGGUAGAAGAGUCCUGUCAACUGCUGUGCUGGUGAUUUUUGAUGGUCGGCAAAACCCAGGCUGGGGUGACAGACACUUGACAUGUCUGUGGCACACCUCCUUCCUGAGCUUGGGCCAUCGGACAGGUAGCCCAGAGCGGUAGUCAGUAAUCCCAGGUUCAUUUCCAGGUCCACUGCUGACUUCCGUAUAGCACAGGGCACAGUCUCAACUUCUCUGCCUUACUUUCUCCAUUUCUUACGUGAAUAUUGGCAGCAGAUCCUGUUUGCUAGGAUCCCAUUGACUUUUUAAUCUAUAAAAUGCAAAGUUUUAAAAAAAAAUACUAACUCUCGGUAUUUAUCACAUGUUCUAAUUAUAGUAGUCACUAUUUACUUUUUUCCCUUGGAGUACGUUAGAAAUGUGGUUUGGGAGGGAGUCUGUAGGAUGGGGGAGAUUGUAAGUGACAAAGGCAUAACGAAUUAAAAGUGACAACUCAAAAGAGUGCCUCUUGGUUGGCUGGGCAGGAACAGGGUGAAUGACUUAUUCAGGAAGAGAAUGGAGUCUUAGGUCUAAUUUGUGGCCAGCGAUAAACUAUGAGUCAAGCAUGGCCAGGGGCCUGCCUGAGUUCCUGGUACUUGUACUCCUUUCUGUAUCCCUGACACACUCUUGAAGUUAACCUCAAAAGACCCCUGGCCCAUCCUUAAGGGUGUUAACUACCUUUCAGAACUUCUAUAUAAAAGGAAAAUCAUUGUUACAGUAGUUGGAUUCAAAAUGUACUUUGUUGUUGGAACUCAAGCAUUAAUGUGGUAUUGGAAAAAGAAUGUAGGAUUGGAGACAAAAGAUAUACAUCAAGGCCUACUACUACCAUCUAAAUAGCUGUGUAACCUCAAAGAGAAUACUUAACCUCUGUACCAAAUUUCCCUACUAGUAGAAUGGUGGCAACUACUAAAUAAGGUAUGUAAAAAUGCUUUGUAGACUUUAAGAUGCUAGGCAAACAGAAGACAUUGUUACCUUGUAACUAUGAAUGGACCAGGUUCACCUGCCAGUUUCCCUUCUGCAAGUUAGGAAUAAUUUUUCCCCUCCCAAUGAUAAAACAUAUAGGUACAUAGAUAAUACCAAAAAUGAAUCAGAACCAUCUUUGUUGUUCCUGAAUCUCCUUCAUCUUCACUACAUCUCUAGAUAAGGAACAGGCAUAGGUUUCUUGUGACAAGUAAAUGGAUCGUUUUCAGGGGCAGGAACAGGGCCAGAACAGAACUGCUUUAUUUUUUAAAUUUUCAUUUGUUUUGUCUCUCUGCCAGCGUUUUUAUACCUGAUCGUGGUUCAGCGGUUCCACUGAGGUCUUUUACUGGUGGUUGAUUCACAAUCAUGUCUGAAGCAGAAGGAAGACUGCAGAUUCCUCUUUUACUCUGUGGCCCUGCAGAAUUAGGGCCACAUUACUAAGAGCAGAGGUUGCUGAACUCAUGCAAGUAUCUGACGUCCUCAGGUGCUUCAGUGAUGAGCCUCGUGCACAAGAGAAGAACGUAAGCCAAUCAGAGCAAAAUACUAGGGCUCGUACCAGCUUACACAAAAGCGCUUUAAUUGACAGUGUACAAUUUUCCAAAAUAUAUUUUUGUAAGAAAA
Manis javanica (Malayan pangolin) is the source of this 14376-nucleotide non-coding RNA. Lineage: Eukaryota; Metazoa; Chordata; Mammalia; Pholidota; Manidae. The record is from RefSeq and is a predicted model, not a curated record.